CUCGUAGGCGGUUUGUCGCGUCUGCUGUGAAAUCCCGAGGCUCAACCUCGGGUCUGCAGUGGGUACGGGCAGACUGGAGUGCGGUAGGGGAGAAUGGAAUUCCUGGUGUAGCGGUGGAAUGCGCAGAUAUCAGGAGGAACACCGAUGGCGAAGGCAGUUCUCUGGGCCGUAACUGACGCUGAGGAGCGAAAGCGGUGGGGAGCGAACGA
RNAcentral lists this ribosomal RNA (209 nucleotides) under uncultured bacterium. Its description in RNAcentral is "partial 16S ribosomal RNA". It matches the Rfam family "Bacterial small subunit ribosomal RNA", at positions 568 to 775 of the family's 1533-position model. The record is from RNAcentral.